GUUUGCGACGGGUCCGUACAAAAAUAUACAGCGAAAAGGCGCGAACGCAAAAACAAGGGAGGAGGUCGUUCGUUCCCGGCGAACCGUCCAUAAUUCACGAUCCGCAAUCCAUUUGAUCUACGAAAUGACGGUAGUCUGUCUUCGACUCGGUCGUUUUACAUUUUGUUAUUAUUUAACUCGAUUGUGUGUACCUAUAUAAUAUAAACCAUCAAAUACGGGUCACUCG
Non-coding RNA from Cinara cedri, 226 nucleotides. The record is from the annotation of a GenBank genome assembly. NCBI's taxonomy places the organism in Eukaryota, Metazoa, Arthropoda, Insecta, Hemiptera, Aphididae.